GGUACUUGCCAGCUGUGUCACCUUGACAAAGUCACAGCACCUUACCUGGCACCUAUACACAGGAGACUCUGAAGUAUCUCUUGGAUCAUGGCUUUCCAGUGACCCUGUCCUCCUACGGCCCAGUGGUCAGCUUUCUGGCCAGACCUGAGGCAGCACCAGGGAGGCUGUGAGGUUUGCUAGUCUCCGGUGUGUUCUGAACGGGUAAACUCCUAGAAGCAGGAUCCCGGGGUCACAGCACGUCCAUAUGUUUUAUGCACAGGCAAGGACACAGGUUCUGGAAUGAGACCGCGUAGGACUGACACCCUCGGCCAUCGGCCAGUUGCAUGGCCUUGGAGGGCCUGGCAGGACGGUGGCUUCCUCACUGGUGAGUUGGAAUACUAACAACCUCCUUUACUGGGUUGGUUGCUAUGCGAUGCAUGUGGCUCAAUACAUGGUAAGCCCUUAGAUCCUGGCCUGUGCACAGUGAGCACAAAACUCUCAGCUAUUAUUAUUGCUGUUAUCGUUGCCAACUUGUCCUCCUGAAAGAGUGUCCCAAUUUAAC
This is a long non-coding RNA of Myotis brandtii (Brandt's bat), 541 nucleotides long. RefSeq lists it as uncharacterized. The transcript has 3 exons. NCBI's taxonomy places the organism in Eukaryota, Metazoa, Chordata, Mammalia, Chiroptera, Vespertilionidae. The record is from RefSeq and is a predicted model, not a curated record.